GCAUGCUUACAACAUAGCGUUAAUUCACUAGAUCCCAUUAAAAUCCACAGUUAAGCGUGCUCGAGCUAAAUUAGUACUAGGAUGGGUGACCACCUGAGAAGUAUUAUUAUUUUACAUGCC
Picea glauca (white spruce) is the source of this 120-nucleotide non-coding RNA. The record is from Rfam. Lineage: Eukaryota; Viridiplantae; Streptophyta; Pinopsida; Pinales; Pinaceae.